AUACGGAGGGUGCGAGCGUUAUCCGGAAUCACUGGGCGUAAAGGGCGCGUAGGCGGUUUGUUAAGUCCGAUGUUAAAGACCGAGGCUCAACCUCGAUACGGCGUUGGAUACUGACAAGCUGGACGGUUGGAGAGGAAGGUAGAAUUACCAGUGUAGCGGUGGAAUGCGUAGAUACUGGUAGGAAUACCCAUUGCGAAGGCAGCCUUCUGGACAACACGUGACGCUGAGGCGCGAAAGUGUGGGGAGCAAACCGGAUUAGAUACCCGGGUAGUCCACACCCUAAACGAUGCAUACUUGGUGUCGGCCCGUUGGGGUCGGUGCCGGAGCUAACGCGUUAAGUAUGCCGCCUGGGAAGUACGGCCGCAAGGUUGAA
Molecule: ribosomal RNA, 373 nt
Filed under: uncultured bacterium
Lineage: Bacteria
Description: bacterial SSU rRNA
Rfam family: Bacterial small subunit ribosomal RNA
Source: RNAcentral